GGGGGUGUAGCUCAGCUGGCUAGAGCGCUUCGGUCGCAUCGAAGAGGCCGUGGGUUCGAAUCCCAUCACCUCCACCA
This 77-nucleotide transfer RNA is filed under the name Acidimicrobiia bacterium. RNAcentral's name for it is "tRNA-Ala". It matches the Rfam family "tRNA". Rfam says of the family: Transfer RNA (tRNA) molecules are approximately 80 nucleotides in length. Their secondary structure includes four short double-helical elements and three loops (D, anti-codon, and T loops). Lineage: Bacteria; Bacillati; Actinomycetota; Acidimicrobiia. RNAcentral also lists the same sequence under 3 other names. The record is from RNAcentral.